This 223-nucleotide unclassified non-coding RNA is filed under the name plant metagenome. RNAcentral describes it as "partial contains small subunit ribosomal RNA and internal transcribed spacer 1". The stretch from base 1 to 46 matches the Rfam family "Eukaryotic small subunit ribosomal RNA", at positions 1786 to 1831 of the family's 1831-position model. The record is from RNAcentral.
AAGUCGUAACAAGGUUUCCGUAGGUGAACCUGCGGAAGGAUCAUUAGUGAAUUCAACUUUGUGCUUGCACAUGCUAGCCUGGGGUCCCUCGUGGCCACAGGUUCUAGAAUACACAUCCAUAACACCUGUGAACUGUCUGUCAGGCCCAUCGGCUCGCGCCCCUGGACUUGCACAUUACAAAACUUACUCUGUAAAAAUGUCUAAAUACAAAAACAAAAUAAAA